CCUACGGGAGGCAGCAGUGGGGGAUAUUGCACAAUGGGGGAAAGCCUGAUGCAGCGACGCCGCGUGGGCGAAGAAGUACUUCGGUAUGUAACGCCCUAUCAGCAGGGAAGAAGAAAUGACGGUACCUGAGUAAGAAGCACCGGCUAAAUACGUGCCAGCAGCCGCGGUAAUACGUAUGGUGCAAGCGUUAUCCGGAUUUACUGGGUGUAAUGGGAGCGCAGGCGGCACGGCAAGCCUGAUGUGAAAGCCCGGGGCCCAACCGGGGGACUGCAUUGGGAACUACCGGGCUGGAGUGCCGGAGAGGUGGGCGGAAUUCCUAGUGUAGCGGUGAAAUGCGUAGAUAUUAGGAGGAACACCAGUGGCGAAGGCGGCCUUCUGGACGGUGACUGACGCUGAGGCUCGAAAGCGUGGGGAGCAAACAGGAUUAGAUACCCCAGUAGUC
Molecule: ribosomal RNA, 442 nt
Filed under: uncultured bacterium
Lineage: Bacteria
Description: partial 16S ribosomal RNA
Rfam family: Bacterial small subunit ribosomal RNA
Source: RNAcentral